This 490-nucleotide ribosomal RNA is filed under the name uncultured bacterium. RNAcentral's name for it is "partial 16S ribosomal RNA". It matches the Rfam family "Bacterial small subunit ribosomal RNA", at positions 30 to 507 of the family's 1533-position model. The record is from RNAcentral.
AUUGAACGCUGGCGGCAGGCUUAACACAUGCAAGUCGAGCGGUAACAGAGAGACGCUUGCUUCUCUGCUGACGAGCGGCGGACGGGCGAGUAAUGCCUAGGAAUCUGCCUAGUAGUGGGGGACAACUUGCCGAAAGGUAAGCUAAUACCGCAUACGUCCUACGGGAGAAAGGAGGGGACCUUCGGGCCUUUCGCUAUUAGAUGAGCCUAGGUCGGAUUAGUUAGUUGGUGAGGUAAUGGCUCACCAAGACCGCGAUCCGUAACUGGUCUGAGAGGAUGAUCAGUCACACUGGAACUGAGACACGGUCCAGACUCCUACGGGAGGCAGCAGUGGGGAAUAUUGGACAAUGGGGGGAACCCUGAUCCAGCCAUGCCGCGUGUGUGAAGAAGGUCUUAGGAUUGUAAAGCACUUUAAGUUGGGAGGAAGAGCAGUUAACUAAUAUUUGACUGUUUUGACGUUACCGACAGAAUAAGCACCGGCUAACUUCGUG